Molecule: long non-coding RNA, 267 nt
Filed under: Mytilus galloprovincialis (Mediterranean mussel)
Lineage: Eukaryota; Metazoa; Mollusca; Bivalvia; Mytilida; Mytilidae
Source: RNAcentral
GGGGGGGUUUCCGGGGGUGCGCACCCCCCCUUUAUUUUUGCCGAUCAAUGCAUUUGUAUCGGGACAUAUGUUUUGCACCCCCCCUUUGCCCUGGGUUAGCACCCCCUCUUUCGAAAAUUCCUGCAUCCGCCCCUGAAAGCAGUCCAAAAUAAAUGAGUCUUGAGUUGCUUUUUAAAAACAUCUAAAGAAUUUACACUCCGUAAAGACGAUGGCAAAUUGUUCCAGAGUGUAGGCGCAGCCUUGUCAAAACGCCUCUCACCGUAGCUU